This 497-nucleotide ribosomal RNA is filed under the name uncultured bacterium. Its description in RNAcentral is "partial 16S ribosomal RNA". It matches the Rfam family "Bacterial small subunit ribosomal RNA", at positions 28 to 507 of the family's 1533-position model. The record is from RNAcentral.
GAUGAACGCUGGCGGCGUGCCUAAUACAUGCGAGUCGAGCGAACAGACGAGGAGCUUGCUCCUCUGACGUUAGCGGCGGACGGGUGAGUAACACGUGGAUAACCUACCUAUAAGACUGGGAUAACUUCGGGAUACCGGAGCUAAUACCGGAUAAUAUAUUGAACCGCAUGGUUCAAUAGUGAAAGACGGUUUUGCUGUCACUUAUAGAUGGAUCCGCGCCGCAUUAGCUAGUUGGUAAGGUAACGGCUUACCAAGGCAACGAUGCGUAGCCGACCUGAGAGGGUGAUCGGCCACACUGGAACUUAGACACGGUCCAGACCCCUACGGGAAGCAGCAGUAGGGAAUCUUCCGCAAUGGGCGAAAGCCUGACGGAGCAACGCCGCGUGAGUGAUGAAGGUCUUCGGAUCGUAAAACUCUGUUAUUAGGGAAGAACAAAUGUGUAAGUAACUAUGCACGUCUUGACGGUACCUAAUCAGAAAGCCACGGCUAACUACGUG